GACCUCGGUGGCACAGUGGUAAAGUGUUUGGCUAUGAACCGAGAGGUCCCGGGUUCGAUCCCCGGUCGGGUCA
Molecule: non-coding RNA, 73 nt
Organism: Plodia interpunctella (Indianmeal moth)
Lineage: Eukaryota; Metazoa; Arthropoda; Insecta; Lepidoptera; Pyralidae
Source: the annotation of a RefSeq genome assembly